ACAUGCAAGUCGAACGGUAACAGGAAGCAGCUUGCUGCUUCGCUGACGAGUGGCGUGACGGGUGAGUAAUGUCUGGGAAACUGCCUGAUGGAGGGGGAUAACUACUGGAAACGGUGGCUAAUACCGCAUAACGUCGCAAGACCAAAGAGGGGGACCUUCGGGCCUCUUGCCAUCAGAUGUGCCCAGAUGGGAUUAGCUUGUUGGUGAGGUAACGGCUCACCAAGGCGACGAUCCCUAGCUGGUCUGAGAGGAUGACCAGCCACACUGGAACUGAGACACGGUCCAGACUCCUACGGGAGGCAGCAGUGGGGAAUAUUGCACAAUGGGCGCAAGCCUGAUGCAGCCAUGCCGCGUGUAUGAAGAAGGCCUUCGGGUUGUAAAGUACUUUCAGCGGGGAGGAAGGUGUUGUGGUUAAUAACCGCAGCAAUUGACGUUACCCGCAGAAGAAGCACCGGCUAACUCCGUGCCAGCAGCCGCGGUAAUACGGAGGGUGCAAGCGUUAAUCGGAAUUACUGGGCGUAAAGCGCACGCAGGCGGUCUGUCAAGUCGGAUGUGAAAUCCCCGGGCUCAACCUGGGAACUGCAUUCGAAACUGGCAGGCUUGAGUCUUGUAGAGGGGGGUAGAAUUCCAGGUGUAGCGGUGAAAUGCGUAGAGAUCUGGAGGAAUACCGGUGGCGAAGGCGGCCCCCUGGACAAAGACUGACGCUCAGGUGCGAAAGCGUGGGGAGCAAACAGGAUUAGAUACCCUGGUAGUCCACGCCGUAAACGAUGUCUACUUGGAGGUUGUGCCCUUGAGGCGUGGCUUCCGGAGCUAACGCGUUAAGUAGACCGCCUGGGGAGUACGGCCGCAAGGUUAAAACUCAAAUGAAUUGACGGGGGCCCGCACAAGCGGUGAGCAUGUGGUUUAAUUCGAUGCAACGCGAAGAACCUUACCUGGUCUUGACCUCCCACAGAAGGUUUCAGAGAUGAGAUUGUGCCUUCGGGACCGAGAGACAGGUGCUGCAUGGCUGUCGUCAGCUUCGGGUUGUGAAUGGUGGGUUAAGUCCCGCCACGAGCGCAACCUUUAUUCUUUUGUUG
Molecule: ribosomal RNA, 1076 nt
Filed under: Salmonella enterica subsp. enterica serovar Kentucky
Lineage: Bacteria; Pseudomonadati; Pseudomonadota; Gammaproteobacteria; Enterobacterales; Enterobacteriaceae
Description: bacterial SSU rRNA
Rfam family: Bacterial small subunit ribosomal RNA
Source: RNAcentral